RNAcentral lists this ribosomal RNA (253 nucleotides) under uncultured bacterium. RNAcentral describes it as "partial 16S ribosomal RNA". It matches the Rfam family "Bacterial small subunit ribosomal RNA", at positions 524 to 776 of the family's 1533-position model. The record is from RNAcentral.
UACGUAGGGCGCAAGCGUUGUCCGGAAUUAUUGGGCGUAAAGAGCUCGUAGGCGGCUUGUCACGUCGACUGUGAAAACCCGGGGCUCAACUCCGGGCCUGCAGUCGAUACGGGCUGGCUUGAGUGCGGUAGGGGAGACUGGAAUUCCUGGUGUAGCGGUGAAAUGCGCAGAUAUCAGGAGGAACACCGGUGGCGAAGGCGGGGCUCUGGGCCGUAACUGACGCUGAGGAGCGAAAGCGUGGGGAGCGAACAGG